Molecule: ribosomal RNA, 354 nt
Filed under: uncultured bacterium
Lineage: Bacteria
Description: bacterial SSU rRNA
Rfam family: Bacterial small subunit ribosomal RNA
Source: RNAcentral
UCGGAAUUAUUGGGCGUAAAGGGCGCGUAGGCGGUGAUUUAAGUGAGAUGUGUAAUCCCUGGGCUUAACCUGGGAACUGCAUCUCAGACUGGAUCGCUAGAGUGCUGGAGAGGGUGGUAGAAUUCCACGUGUAGCGGUGAAAUGCGUAGAGAUGUGGAGGAAUACCAGUGGCGAAGGCGGCCACCUGGACAGUAACUGACGCUGAGGCGCGAAAGUGUGGGUAGCAAACAGGAUUAGAUACCCUGGUAGUCCACGCUGUAAACGAUGAACACUUGGUGUGGUGGGAGUUGACCCCUGCCGUGCCGUAGCUAACGCGAUAAGUGUUCCGCCUGGGGGAGUACGGUCGCAAGGCUG